GGAGGGCUGGCUGAGUGGCCGAAGGCGCUGGUCUUGAAAACCAGAGGGGCGGUGAACCCGUCCUCGCGGGUUCGAAUCCCGCGCCCUCCGCCA
This 93-nucleotide transfer RNA is filed under the name Cellulomonas rhizosphaerae. RNAcentral's name for it is "Cellulomonas sp. NEAU-TCZ24 tRNA-Ser". It matches the Rfam family "tRNA". Rfam says of the family: Transfer RNA (tRNA) molecules are approximately 80 nucleotides in length. Their secondary structure includes four short double-helical elements and three loops (D, anti-codon, and T loops). Further hydrogen bonds mediate the characteristic L-shaped molecular structure. tRNAs have two regions of fundamental functional importance: the anti-codon, which is responsible for specific mRNA codon recognition, and the 3' end, to which the tRNAs corresponding amino acid is attached (by aminoacyl-tRNA synthetases). tRNAs cope with the degeneracy of the genetic code in two manners: having more than one tRNA (with a specific anti-codon) for a particular amino acid; and 'wobble' base-pairing, i.e. permitting non-standard base-pairing at the 3rd anti-codon position. Lineage: Bacteria; Bacillati; Actinomycetota; Actinomycetes; Micrococcales; Cellulomonadaceae. The record is from RNAcentral.